RNAcentral lists this ribosomal RNA (1221 nucleotides) under Shewanella sp. RNAcentral describes it as "bacterial SSU rRNA". It matches the Rfam family "Bacterial small subunit ribosomal RNA", at positions 33 to 1280 of the family's 1533-position model. Lineage: Bacteria; Pseudomonadati; Pseudomonadota; Gammaproteobacteria; Alteromonadales; Shewanellaceae. The record is from RNAcentral.
GCGCAGGUGGCAGGUCUACACAUGCAAGUCGAGCGGUAACAGAGAGGAAGCUUGCUUUCUUUGCUGACGAGCGGCGGACGGGUGAGUAAUGCCUAGGGAUCUGCCCAGUCGAGGGGGAUAACAGUUGGAAACGACUGCUAAUACCGCAUACGCCCUACGGGGGAAAGGAGGGGACCUUCGGGCCUUUCGCGAUUGGAUGAACCUAGGUGGGAUUAGCUAGUUGGUGAGGUAAUGGCUCACCAAGGCGACGAUCCCUAGCUGUUCUGAGAGGAUGAUCAGCCACACUGGGACUGAGACACGGCCCAGACUCCUACGGGAGGCAGCAGUGGGGAAUAUUGCACAAUGGGGGAAACCCUGAUGCAGCCAUGCCGCGUGUGUGAAGAAGGCCUUCGGGUUGUAAAGCACUUUCAGUAGGGAGGAAAGGUAGCGUGUUAAUAGCACGCUGCUGUGACGUUACCUACAGAAGAAGGACCGGCUAACUUCGUGCCAGCAGCCGCGGUAAUACGAGGGGUCCGAGCGUUAAUCGGAAUUACUGGGCGUAAAGCGUACGCAGGCGGUUCAUUAAGCUAGAUGUGAAAUCCCCGGGCUCAACCUGGGAAUUGCAUUUAGAACUGGUGAACUAGAGUCUUGUAGAGGGGGGUAGAAUUUCAGGUGUAGCGGUGAAAUGCGUAGAGAUCUGAAGGAAUACCGGUGGCGAAGGCGGCCCCCUGGACAAAGACUGACGCUCAUGUACGAAAGCGUGGGGAGCAAACAGGAUUAGAUACCCUGGUAGUCCACGCCGUAAACGAUGUCUACUCGGAGUUUGGUGACUUAGUCACUGGGCUCCCAAGCUAACGCAUUAAGUACACCGCCUGGAGAGUACGGCCCGCAGGGUUAAAACUCAAAUGAAUUGACGGGGGCCCGCACAAGGCGGUGGAGCAUGUGGUUUAAUUCGAUGCAACGCUGAAGAACCUUACCUACUCUGACAUCCACAGAAGCGGAAGAGAUUCUGGUGUGCCUUCGGUGAACUGGUAAGACACGUGCUGCAUGACUGUCGUCAGUUCGUUCUUUGAAAUGUGGAGGUAAGUUCAGCAACGAGCGCCACCCUAUCCCUACUGGCGAGCCGUAUGGUGGGACUCUAGUAGACGAACGUUACACGGGCGAUGGAGACGUCUAGGCCAUGGCCGUCGAGAGUGCUAACGUGCAAUGCUAGGGAGGGUCAAGCCAAAGCUAGACCUAUUA